AACCAUAGAAACCUGCGGAGUACCUGCGGAAGGAUCAUCACUGAGAUGGUGCUCUCUCCACCCUUUGUGCCCUGUUUCGUGGCGUUUUCAUGCCACAUUUUGUCACUACUACGCCUGAGCCUGAUCUGCUUAAAAGCUAAAAACUUGCACACAACUUUUAACAACGGAUCU
RNAcentral lists this unclassified non-coding RNA (171 nucleotides) under soil metagenome. RNAcentral's name for it is "partial contains 5.8S ribosomal RNA, internal transcribed spacer 2, and large subunit ribosomal RNA". The record is from RNAcentral.